GACGAACGCUGGCGGCGUGCCUAAUACAUGCAAGUAGAACGCACAGUUUAUACCGUAGCUUGCUACACCAUAGACUGUGAGUUGCAAACGGGUGAGUAACGCGUAGGUAACCUGCCUGGUAGCGUGGGAUAACUAUUGUAAACGAUAGCUAAUACCGCAUAAUAUUGAUUAUUGCAUGAUAAUUGAUUGAAAGAUGCUAUUGCAUCACUACCAGAUGGACCUGCGUUGUAUUAGCUAGUAGGUGAGGUAACGGCUCACCUAGGCGACGAUACAUAGCCGACCUGAGAGGGUGAUCGGCCACACUGGGACUGAGACACGGCCCAGAAUCCUACGGGAGGCAGCAGUAGGGAAUCUUCGGCAAUGGACGAAAGUCUGACCGAGCAACGCCGCGUGAGUGAAGAAGGUUUUCGGAUCGUAAAGCUCUGUUGUAAGAGAAGAACGGGUGUGAGAGUGGAAAGUUCACACUGUGACGGUAUCUUACCAGAAAGGGACGGCUAACUACGUG
Molecule: ribosomal RNA, 505 nt
Filed under: uncultured bacterium
Lineage: Bacteria
Description: partial 16S ribosomal RNA
Rfam family: Bacterial small subunit ribosomal RNA
Source: RNAcentral